GGUUGAUCCUGCCAGUAGUCAUAUGCUUGUCUCAAAGACUAAGCCAUGCAUGUCUAAGUAUAAACAAUUAUACAGUGAAACUGCGAACGGCUCAUUAAAUCAGUUAUCGUUUAUUUGAUAGUUUUCUACAUGGAUAACCGUGAUAACUUCAGAACUAAUACAUGACAGCCUUCUGGCGUAUAUAUUAGAUACAAACCAACAGUAUGGUGAUUCAUAAUAUCUUGUCGAACCGAUCUUCGGUGUAUCAUUCAAAUUUCUGCCCUAUCAACUGUCGAUGGUAGGAUCGUGGCCU
RNAcentral lists this ribosomal RNA (292 nucleotides) under uncultured eukaryote. Its description in RNAcentral is "partial 18S ribosomal RNA". It matches the Rfam family "Eukaryotic small subunit ribosomal RNA", at positions 6 to 342 of the family's 1831-position model. The record is from RNAcentral.